AGCAGCCGCGGUAAUUCCAGCUCCAAUAGCGUAUAUUAAAGUUGUUGCAGUUAAAAAGCUCGUAGUUGAAUUUCGGGGUCAGUAGAUUGGUCAUGCCACUGGUAUGUACUGGUCUCACUGAUUCCUCCUUCCUGAUGAGCCGUAAUGCCAUUAAUUUGGUGUUGCGAGGAAUCUGGACUGUUACUUUGAAAAAAUUAGAGUGUUUAAAGCAGGCUAACGCUUGAAUACAUUAGCAUGGAAUAAUGAAAUAGGACGUUCGAUCUUAUUUUGUUGGUUUCUAAGAUUGACGUAAUGGUUAAUAGGGAUAGUUGGGGGCAUUAGUAUUCAAUUGUCAGAGGUGAAAUUCUUGGAUUUAUUGAAGACUAACUACUGCGAAAGCAUUUGCCAAGGAUGUUUUCUAUUAAUACAAGAAACGAAAGUUAAGGGGAGUCGAAGACGAUCAGAUACCGUCGUAGUCUUAACCAUAAACUAUGCCGACUAGGGAUCGGAUGAUGUUAAUUUUUUAAUGUACUCU
RNAcentral lists this ribosomal RNA (514 nucleotides) under uncultured Glomus. Its description in RNAcentral is "SSU rRNA". It matches the Rfam family "Eukaryotic small subunit ribosomal RNA", at positions 569 to 1082 of the family's 1831-position model. The record is from RNAcentral. Lineage: Eukaryota; Fungi; Glomeromycota; Glomeromycetes; Glomerales; Glomeraceae.